GGGGCUGUAGCUCAGUUGGGAGAGCAUCUGCUUUGCAAGCAGAGGGUCGGCGGUUCAAUUCCGCCCAGCUCCACCA
Molecule: transfer RNA, 76 nt
Filed under: Nitrospira sp.
Lineage: Bacteria; Pseudomonadati; Nitrospirota; Nitrospiria; Nitrospirales; Nitrospiraceae
Also listed under: 3 other names
Description: tRNA-Ala
Rfam family: tRNA
About the family: Transfer RNA (tRNA) molecules are approximately 80 nucleotides in length. Their secondary structure includes four short double-helical elements and three loops (D, anti-codon, and T loops).
Source: RNAcentral